AUACGGAGGAUCCGAGCGUUAUCCGGAUUUAUUGGGUUUAAAGGGUGCGCAGGCGGCCAUUCAAGUCAGCGGUUAAAUCGUGGGGCUCAACCCCAUUCUGCCGUUGAUACUGGGUGGCGUGAUUGCGGUCGAGGUUGGCGGAAUUCGUUGUGUAGCGGUGAAAUGCAUAGAUAUGACGAAGAACACCGAUUGCGUAGGCAGCUGACCAGAGCGCAAAUGACGCUCAUGCACGAAAGUGCGGGGAUCGAACAGGAUUAGAUACCCUGGUAGUCCGCACAGUAAACGAUGAAUACUUGUUUUCGGCGAUAGAAUGUCGGAGGCAAAGCGAAAGCGAUAAGUAUUCCACCUGGGGAGUACGCCGGCAACGGUGAAACUCAAAUGAAUUGACGGGG
RNAcentral lists this ribosomal RNA (392 nucleotides) under uncultured bacterium. RNAcentral describes it as "partial 16S ribosomal RNA". It matches the Rfam family "Bacterial small subunit ribosomal RNA", at positions 523 to 918 of the family's 1533-position model. The record is from RNAcentral.